This 218-nucleotide ribosomal RNA is filed under the name uncultured bacterium. RNAcentral's name for it is "partial 16S ribosomal RNA". It matches the Rfam family "Bacterial small subunit ribosomal RNA", at positions 118 to 351 of the family's 1533-position model. The record is from RNAcentral.
UGGGAACCUUCCCUAUGGUUCGGAAUAGCUCAGGGGAAAAUUUGAGGUAAUACCGGAUAAGCCCUUACGGGGAAAGAUUUAUCGCCAUUGGAUGGGCCCGCGUCGGAUUAGCUAGUUGGUGAGGUAACGGCUCACCAAGGCGACGAUCCGUAGCUGGUCUGAGAGGAUGAUCAGCCACACUGGGACUGAGACACGGUCCAGACUCCUACGGGAGGCAG